UGGGGAAUAUUGCACAAUGGGCGCAAGCCUGAUGCAGCAACGCCGCGUGAGGGACGACGGCCUUCGGGUUGUAAACCUCUUUUAGCAGGGAAGAAGCGAAAGUGACGGUACCUGCAGAAAAAGCACCGGCUAACUACGUGCCAGCAGCCGCGGUAAUACGUAGGGUGCAAGCGUUGUCCGGAAUUAUUGGGCGUAAAGAGCUCGUAGGCGGUUUGUCACGUCUGCUGUGAAAUCCCGAGGCUCAACCUCGGGCUUGCAGUGGGUACGGGCAGACUAGAGUGCGGUAGGGGAGAUUGGAAUUCCUGGUGUAGCGGUGGAAUGCGCAGAUAUCAGGAGGAACACCGAUGGCGAAGGCAGAUCUCUGGGCCGUAACUGACGCUGAGGAGCGAAAGCAUGGGGAGCAAACAGG
Molecule: ribosomal RNA, 409 nt
Filed under: uncultured bacterium
Lineage: Bacteria
Description: bacterial SSU rRNA
Rfam family: Bacterial small subunit ribosomal RNA
Source: RNAcentral